GCCUUUCAAGAAGUGGGAGAAGCUUGCUCUGGGGAAGGAUUUUAUGCAUUCCAUCCUAUUGUUGCUCUCUCUGUAGAACAAGAAAGAAAGGGGAGGUGUUAGAAGGGAAGCAUGUGGACACUCGAACAGGAAACGUCAUAGAGAAAACUCAGCAAGGCAGACAGGGGAAGAAGGGCUUUGCUUAAUUGUUCUCUCAAAGCAAAGGUAUCCCACUUUCAGAGCCAAUUUUCUCUUUCAAUGUAACACUCAGGAAUAUGUAAUCUUAGAUGAAUUCAUGUUCCUCCUUUCCUCUUUUAUUUCCAUUAAAUAAUUAAUAAAUUUUGGGGUAACAAAAACUUUAACAGCAAUUUUUAGGAAUCUCCCUCCUAUAUUUGCACAUUUGGCUCUCAACUUCUUCUGGAACUGCCUUCUACGUAACACACUCCAUAUUUGUUACUUAAAUGUUCUUGUUUCUUUAAACAAAACAUAAAGGUAAAGAAGUUUGGUGACCAGAGCAAAUAAGCUCUUUACAAAAGGGCCAAGCACCACACUAUCUUGAAACUGAAAACACCCAAAUCUUUUCUUAACUUUUCCUGAAGUUAACCGUCUUUUGAGCCUAACUUUCUGGGGAGUGAUUGAGGACUGAAGGAAUCGGGAUUGGCAAGAAAAAUGUCUCUCCCUCCGAAGCAUCUGGCUGCAUACUCUGAAAAGACAGGGCAUUUGAAGAAAGAGCAUAAUCAACCUGUCAGAAACAUUUUGAUUUCACUUAAAUACUGGGCAAUCUGACAACAACUUUUCCCACAACUGAGAAGAAUCUCCUAACAUGAGAGGCACUUGAAGACGUGUUAAAAUUUUUACAGCUAUUAACACAUUCCUAAGAAAAAUACUGCUGGAGACACAAGAAAGCCAAGGAUAACAAUCUUCUCUUUCCAAUGAAAACGUUUAGUCUGUUUGAUUAAAGGAAGAUAAAUGAAAGGGCAAGGGCAAACUCACCUCACAUUCUGUGCUACAGUUUGGUUUCCCUUGAGACCAAAUUGUCUCGCUCAGGAAAAAUGUAGUCUGUCUUCAAGUCCCUGUAUUCUGGAGCAAGGAAUCAGAUGAGGAAUCACUUAGCAUUCAGCACAUCUCAGCUGGCUCUGAAGGGCCUGAAUUCUCUGGCAACCUUGACCAGGGAUAAGCAGAACGGAGAAGGCAGGGCAUAGCCAUCAAUUUAUGUUUCCUUCUUCUCCUUAUCUCCCUAUUCCAAGAGAUUCAAAGAGAGGUGCAGAUAGCCCUCCAAUAAGAACAAAACCCUCUGGACCAGGGUACCUAGGCUCUGGUCCUAGCUCUGCAAUAACUGUGACCUUGAAAAACUAUUUGUUGUCGCUAAGCUUCAGUUUUUCUUUCCAUUAAAUUAGGGGGUUGGUCUAAAACAGUAUUUUCACACUGUGAUUUGGAGCCAUUUGUGGGACAUAAAGUCAAUUUAGUCAGUUGCAACAGGCAAUGCUUGGAAAGGAAAGAGGAUAAGAUAAGGGAUAAAGUAGGGAAUGGGAUGGGAUGGGAUGGGAUGGGAUGGGAUGGGAUGGAACAUAGGAUAAGAUAGCUUAGGACAGGACAGGAUAGAAAAUAUCACACUGCUUCAUUUUUUUUUUAUUGGUGUUCACAGAAGCCAGCAUUCAUUGAUGUUUUUACAACUUCCCCAGGUCUACCAGGCUUCUUGAUCUCACUUCUUCUAGAAGAAAACCCAGCCAAGGUGGUACAAGCUGUAGACAGUGCCACCCAGACACAGCUCCACAGUCCAUUGUAUAGGAUGCUGUCAGUUGUCCUGCCCUUUAAGUGCAUUGUGAGGUCACUGUCCACCUCAAUUCAUCAGGAGAGACCUAGUGUGGGUGUAGGGGUGCCUGAGGAGAAAGGGGUGCUGGUUCUUCCUUAUAUCCCCUGCCUGCCUCAGCUGGGCUCUGACCCAGCCAGCAGACUGGAGUCCUCUUCUGCAUGGUAUAUUCUUUCCUGAGACUUUUGUUUCAGUUAGGUAAGGAAACUGAGGCUUAGAGGAGUUAUGAAAUUGCCCAAGGUUUCACAGCUGAAAUGUAUAAGGACCUGGACUUGCAAAUUUGGCACAAAGUUCUUCUAAUAAGAGGCCAUAAAAUAACCAAAUGAUUUUUUAUGUGCCUAUAGAACCAAAAGAACUAUUUCAGAAUGUCAGCUGAAAAGCACGAUAUUCCAGAUAGCUUAGAAACCUUGGCAUAGUGCCUUCCUGGAAAUCCUGGAUUGCAUCUAAAACCAUGUGGCAGAGGGAGAAACAACAGACAGGACAUCCUGAGAAGACUCAGGCUGGGACGAAAGCUCUGCUCUCCAGGGACAAAGCAGCAGGGGACCAGCCAUGCUCAGAAAUACUCCACUGGCCAGUGCACAUUUUUUUGAGCAAUUUCACUUGCUUCCUCACCACCUGUCCCCCUAACACUUCUAUUAAAGUGGCAAAUAAAUCUGAUACCCAAUUUCAACUGCACUUUCUUUCCAAAAUAUAUAUAACACUAAUACACCUGGUGUAUUUACUGCUUAUUAUUAACCAAUAAUCAUUUCCAUGGAGUAUGAAAGAAAUUCCUCUUUUCUCCAACAAUCCUCUAAAGAUUGUCUUUAUAUGAGAACAUAUCCUGGGUCACAACCAUUAACCAUCUAUAAAGAAAGACUCGAUUUUUUCCUUUGACUGAUGAAGUACUAUAUGGCUACUACAAUGAAUAUAAGGAAAGAAGUAAAGGAUAGUAGCACUUACUAAAUACCUAUUAUAUAUCAGUCCUAUUCUGUGACUUCAAAGAUCUUACAUUCAUAUUGUUAAUCUAAGGCUAACAAGCUCACGGUAGUGGCUACCACUUUUAAAGCGCUUUCCAAUGAUCCUGCGUUCCAUCUCUGUGUGCUUCUCUUUUCAGUCCUUACGUUUUAAACAAAAGAUACUGUUUCGCUACCAGGUACAAAGUACACACAGGUACCAGAUAUCCUGAUGCUCCUACUUCUCAUUUUUCCAGUAAUUCCUAGGUAAGACUACUUUUGCUAAAGUAUUCAACAGAAUAACAUUACCUUCCCCAGUCAUAGAGCUAUUUCUCUGACUGAUGCUUCAUAACUCUGUCCAGUAUGGUAGUCACCAGACACAUGGCUACUGAGCACUUGAAGUGUGGCUAAUGUAGCUGCAGAACUAGAGUUUUAAAAUUUUGCUCAAUCUUAAUUAACAUAAGUUUAAAUUUUAAACCGAAAGCAGUGUAAAAAGUGAAAAUUCACUUACUGUUAGUGUAAAAUAGAAACUGGAGCUCAAAGACUAAGUACAAAAACAGUAAAAUCCUACAGAAUUAAGUUUUAUAUUAGUUACAUGUUUAAAUAAUAAUAUUUAAGAUACAUUGGGUUAAAUCAAUUAUUAAAAUUAAUUUUACUGUUUUUUCUUUUAAUGUGGCCAGUAGAAAAUUUUAAAUGGCAUAUGUGGCUCAUCUUCUAUUUCUAUUGGGCAAUGAUGCUCCAGAAAGAGAAUUAUAAAAAGAAUAGAAAGAGUAUUCUCUACACCCGGAAUGUAUAGGGUGAAGAAUAGAGGGGGAAAAAGGAAAAAAUACUAAUUUAACCCAGCUAACUACAUGAAAGAAAAAUAAUUUUAUCUGAGACUAAAUCAUGGACUCAUUAUUCCCCAUAGGAUUAAUUUUCCAUUCCAUGUUCCUCAUUAAAUCUGACCUUGAGAAAUCCUUCACUGGCCACUUCUGGGUGGUAAGAUUGCCUUGUGUGAUUCUGACUACUCAAUGUCUGAUCACAACUCACCCCUCUAUCCUUUAGUAAUCCAGUAGAAGGUUAUAGAAGAUAAAAUUUUAUUCAUUCAUUCAUUCAUUCAUUCAUUCAUUCAUUUAUGUCUACAUGAUCUGAGGUCCAUGUUUUUGGAUAGCACAAUUUGGCAUGCAAAUAUAAUAAAUAAAUUGAGUUUCAAACAUUUUUAAAAGUACUUAAAUGGUAUACUAAACACACAGCUUACAGCAAUGGCAUUAAAUGUCCCGUAUGUGGAUUUUUUGGGGGGGUGCUUAAUGAGAUGAAAGGAUCACACAAAAUGUUUUUGUGAAAAUGAUUCUGUAAAGUGGGACUGUAGAUCAAAGUUCACCACUGUCAAAUAUACAACUUGAGAACAAACUAAAGUGCUGCUAUUAAUCAUGGUUUCUGGGGAUUUGAUGACACAGAUUAAACUGCUGUAAAGAAUACUGCUGUGCAUCGUGUUCUUGCAACUGUCAUCAGCACUUCUGCCAAGUGUCCACAGAUCAUGAAGAAAAGCUGCCUAACCUCUACUGGAGGUAUCUCUCUCACUGAGCUUAGUCAAGAAUAUGAAUAGCAGGUUUAAGUUCAUGACAAUACCUCAAAGAUACUGUAUCUGCAAAGCCACUGCUUUCUUAGGGAAGAAAAGGCUUCAUGAGUUUGAGAGGCAAAAUGGAGGUGGAACAUGAAGCAAGUAAACUGAGAUCAGAUACCACAUGACUUUCAUUUCUAUCUAACUUUCAAUCAGAUAGACUUUCCAUACAUAUUCUGUAAAAUAUUUUAAAUAAUUUAUAAUGUGCCAUAUUUCAGAGGUCUGAGGCUAUGUAAUUUUUUUUUUUUUUUUUUGAGACAGAGUCUUGCUCUGUUGCCCAGGCUGGAGUGCAGUGGUGCUGUUACUGGGUGGGUCUUUGUUCUUAGAGCUCCUAAGAUGGUGGCGGGCCACUCCCAAGAUGGGGCAGCAAGCCUUUUAUUCUCUGACCUGGGGUUCCUGGCCUCACAGAUUCCAAGGAAUGGAACCUUGGGCCACGUGGUGAAUGUUAUAGCUGUAUUAGAAGCCAUGGGUCACAGAAGAGAACCAUGGAACCCAGCAACUAGCGUUUAGCUCGAUUAGGAUGAACGUAGGCACUUAGCCAUGCAGGAACAAUGGUGAGACUCUAGCCCGAACGGGAGCGUCAGUGGGUGCCUCGCUGGAUCAGAAAUGCAGCAGACACCCUGCCAGAUCCAGAGGGGUGGAAGUCAAUGGCGGGUCUGCAACGGCGGUGAACAGCAGUGGCGGACGGUGAGCGAAAGCUCAGCAGGAGCCAGAACAAACGUGGACCAGAAGAGUGUGCAGUUGCAAGAUUUAACAGUGAAAACAGAGCUCCACACAAUCGGAGGGGACCCAAAGGGGGUUGCCACUCCCUGCUCGAAUACCUGGGUUUGUAUCCCGAUCAUUGACCCUCCCCAUGUGCUCUCAGGUGAUAUAUGAUUUGACUAUUUCUUUACCUCCUGCUUUUAGCCUAAUUUGUAUUUUAGUGAGCCAUCUUUACUACCUGAUUGGUCAUGUGUGAGCUGAGUUACAAGCCCCGUGUUUAAAGGUGGGAGCAGUCACCUUCCCAAGCUAGGCUUAGGAAGUCUUAGUUGGCCUAGGAAAUCCAGCUAGUCCUGUCUCUCAGUACCCCCUCUCAACAGGGAAACCCAAGUGUUGUUGGGGAGGUUGGCCAACAACAGCUUUAACUGCUUCCUGCUGAAUUGGGGUGUAGUAGGGGUUGUGCAGUUGAGAUUUCCUCAGGAGGGAUGCCUUCGAUGUCAUCAACAUUGGAGCAUGGGCUAGCAGGCCCGUCCAGGGGUCCACAGUAGAUCUUAGUCAUGGACUGCAUCUGGGGCUCCAAUUGAAGAACCA
RNAcentral lists this long non-coding RNA (5611 nucleotides) under Homo sapiens (human). Its description in RNAcentral is "HSALNT0109362". Lineage: Eukaryota; Metazoa; Chordata; Mammalia; Primates; Hominidae. The record is from RNAcentral.